Long non-coding RNA from Oncorhynchus kisutch (coho salmon), 5049 nucleotides. RefSeq lists it as uncharacterized. The record is from RefSeq and is a predicted model, not a curated record. The transcript is spliced from 2 exons. NCBI's taxonomy places the organism in Eukaryota, Metazoa, Chordata, Actinopteri, Salmoniformes, Salmonidae.
ACAAUAAGAAGACACAUUGGCAGAAUAAAUUCAACGACACCUUUGUUUCAUCACAAAACCGGAGAGCAACAGCUGUCCUGUGGAGUCCACAAAGCAUAUUGCUUGCAACAAAUAGUUACAUGACCAAAAGCAUGGUCAAGCAAGUUAAUGUUUCCAUCAUUUUCAGACCACUAAUCAACUAUUGACUUUAGAACCACAGAGUUAAUGUAAGUCGCAAAGAAAACAGGAGCUGCCUCCACUUCUCCAGCACCAUUUCAACUUCAACAUGUCAACAUCAUCAAAUUACCCAUGCUUAAUCUAAUACAGUGACAACUAAAAUAUACCAAAAACAAUUUAGUUCAAGUAACAUAAGCUAAAUAUGAUGUGGCUGUACAUUUUUCUGAUUUAUGUGUGUGUGUGUGUGUGCAUGCGUGCGUGUGUGUUCGUGCAAGUAGAAAAAAACGGUCUAUCAAUCUGUCAUACAACACACACUUUUAUUUUUAGUUGUCUUAGGCUACCUAGCUAAAAUGCUUGCUCGCUAGCCUAACUUCCUUUCAUGGGCAAUGUUAGCGAGUUAACAUUAGCCUCCUACAGUACAUCUAGCUACAUAUUGAACUUCAAACCUCUCAGGACAGGGGCACAAUGUAUAAAUUAAUGGUUGGUUCAGAAUCUCCAUUAUAAUCGUUGGCCAGUAGGGAGAAUUAAGUAAAGCCACACGUAAAAAUCUCCAUCCAUGGCUAAUAUAGGAAAGGGUCAAUUUUAGCUAGGUAGCUAGCAACUCGAGGACAACAACAUAACGAGAAGCAACAAUUCAAGUUGUUUCUGUCAAUGACGUAUGCUCUUGGUGCGAUUUCAUAGGAGUGACGCCAAAUCCAAACUGGCUUCCCUAUAUACUUUUUUUGGUGUGCCAGGACCAUUCACAGUUGAGCUCACUCAGUUCAGCUCAACAAUGAUUGGCUAUUAUUUUAACCUUUUUUUUAUCAAGGGAGGCCAAAUGCUCGCUAUCAAGGGAGGCCAAAUGCUCGCUAGCUUCCCUUGCAUUCAAUGCUACGGGCGGCAACAAUGUCAUAUUCUUUUGGACCAGACAGCAUCAUAUAAAUGGCCUACACAUACAGAGACAAAUAUCGCUCGGAUGCUUUCUCCGGUGAGAUACAUUUAGCCUCUUGCAAAUUGAAGGACAAUUAGGAAACACAGAGAGCCGAAAGAUAAAGAUUUAAAAUAUGUAUCUGUCAAUUUUUGGGGGAAGCCUGGCUUCCCUUGGGAUCCUUGAAUUCCUGCCACUGCAUAUGAAGCUGUUCCCCAUCUCUGAGUUCUCUAUAUUACAUUAUUGUAUGUUAUGUGUUCCUGUACCCAACUGCCCUGUAAGGAGGAGUCAAUGCAUAACUCUGAGCUAUUCCAUCACUACUUAUCUCACUGCAGAGUGGAGGAGAAGCAUUGACUAGAUUGAGGAACAGAGACACAUCAUAACUACUAAUAAUUAAUCAUGACAUUUCCUAUUGUGGCUCUACUGAUGACAAUGGGCUUGACAGGUGAACACUAUUAGACUGUUUUUAUUUGAUACAGAAUGAUCACAGAGGUUUUGAGUCCAGAGAUUUUCUCUAAUGUUACUUUGUUUCCACAGGUGUUCGCAGUCAGACAUUGACUGAGUCUUGACCAGUGGUUAAAAAGCCUGGAGAAUCACACAAAUUCAUUAAGGAAUGCUGUGCCAUUAGCAAAAACAUUGAAACAAUUCAUUAUUGUGUUAUAAUAACAUGCUGUAAACAAAGAGAGAAUCAACAUUUCACUCAACUUUGUAUUUAAUUUCACAGUUCAUAAUGCAGGUUGGUUCAGCUUGUAACAGUCAAUCAAUUUAUUCAUUUUUAUACUAGUUAUUUACAGUGGUGGAACAAAUACCCAAUUGUCAUACUUGAGUAAAAGUAAAGAUACAUUCAUAGAAAAUGAGUCAAGUUAAAGUGAAAGUCAACCAAUACAAGCAUUUGGUAGGGAUGACCAGGGAUGUUCUCUUGUUAAGUACAUGACUCGGUCCACUUUCCUGUCAUGCUAGGCAUUCAAAACGUAACGUGUACUUUUGGGUGUCAGGGAAAAUGUAUGGAAUAAAAAGUACAGACAUUUACUUAGGAAUGUAAAAUGAUAAGUUUUAAAAAGUAUAAAUAGUAAAGUACAAAUACCCCAAGAGACUAGUUAAGUAUUUUUACUUAAGUCUUUUACACCACUGGUUAUUUAUUUGGACUCUACUUAUACUAAUAAGUGCCAUACUGUUUGUGCUUGUACUUGAUUCAUCACAUACAUAUAGGGUUUUUGUACUGGUCUGUUGGUGGUUUGUAUCACUGUGGCCACCGAGCACAAUAGUACACAGCUGUGUCUUCAGUCUGCAGAUUCUGUCCUUUUAAAAACACUGUGUUGCUGGAAGUGUCUCUUGUGACACUGAACCUGUCUUUUAGGGAACUUUGAGAUCUUGAGCUUCCAUCAUAAUAGAUGGUCCAAAUCCAUUCAAGUGCUUUUCCUACAGGCUGACGGAUCCAGCCGAUUCCAUAGACGUUGCUGCUAUCAGUCAGAGAAUAACCAGAGACCUUACAGGUGAUGCUCAAAGACUCUCCAGGCUUUACAUCCAAUGAGCUUGGUUGGGUGAGCUCAAGACCACAGUGCACACCUGUCAAUGGAAGAAUUAGAAUGAAAACAAUCUAUGGAUUUACAGAGUAGUCAGAAAAGUAAUUUAACAGUUGAAUAUAUUGAUAUAGAACUGCAAAUAAAAUGUUCAGUUUCAAAAACAAAUCUAAGGAGACUCACAUGAUGCAGCUACAAGCAGCAGCAGCAGAGAUGCAGGGAACAUGGUUUGUAUUCAAGCUGGGUUGGUUCGAUGCUGGAUUCUUAACUCUUACUGAAAGAAAGACAGACACUCCACUUUAUAUAGACAAAAGGAAUUUAACUUUGCAUAGACCUGAGAGAGUUAACCCCAUGGAGAUGCAAAUAUAUUCUGUGUACCAAGAGCCAAUGUCUCCUCCCAUUACAAUAGUCUGCUAUAAUAACUGACCCCCAGAGACUAUCUCCCUAAUUCACAACUGUCAUUUUCAGUCUACACCUUUGUUUCAAAAAUCUUAGAACAUCCCCUGUGUAAUGGCUGUUGGUGGAAGAAGGUGAGGACCAAAGCGCAGCGUGGUACGUGUUCAUGUUAUUUAUUAAACUGAAGACUAAAUACAACAAGUAACAAAAGAACAACCGAAACAGCUCCGUCAGGUACAAAACAGAAAUUAACUACCCACAAAACCCCUGUGGGGAAAAGCUACCUAAGUAUGGUUCUCAAUCAGAGACAACGACAGACAGCUGUCCCUGAUUGAGAACCAUACCGGACCAAACAAAGAAAUACAACACUAGAGAAUGAACAUAGAAUGCCCACCCUAGUCACACCCUGGCCUAACCAAAUUAGAGAAUAAAAACCUCACUAUGGCCAGGGCGUGACACCCUGUCACAAGAUUUUCUAUCUCAAUGUUCUAACUGAACUAUUUUAUAACUCCAUCUGUAUCCUAGAGGUUGUAAGACUCUAAGUUGUAAUAAACAGACAGAGUCCCAGCAUACAAAUGAUCAGUUCUUUAUUCAGAGAGCUCUGCCCUUCUAGUGCAGAGCUAGUCUUUUUACACACACACACACACACACACACACACACACACACACACACACACACACACACACACACACACACACACACACACACGUUUAUUUAUCAAGUUUACUUAUCAUGGGCUACUCCAUAGUCGGACAGGCUGAACUUUUCCACUAUCCAGGGUGAGGACAGAAUCUUCUGUUAUUGGUUUCACAGUUGCACAAGUUGUCUGUCCAUAGCUCAUCUUAUCCUUUGUUGUCAUAACUACACCCUGCUUACAUAGCUAAAAAUAAACACAAUGUCCUAAUUCUAUCCUGCCUAAGCCGCACACAUGAUCAACUUAUAGUCUUAUGUGUCUAAUGGAUUUCACACAAAGUGAUACAGUUUCAGGGUGAAAUAUCUUAGUCAUUACUUUAAACACAAAUUCUUCUAUCAAUCCACCCAUUGACUAAAUAUUACACACACAAGAUAAAUGUUUUUAAUUAAUUAAUUAAUUCCUCAACUUAAGGGGUUAGUUCUAUCCCUACUUCUAGUUAUAGCUCUUCACUUUUUAGGAUUUUCACUACAACCUUCACACAUCAGAAUUAAGAAAAUUGUAGGUCAUCAGGAUCGAAUGAAUCAGCAUCGUCCACAAGGCCCGGAGGCAUGUAGCAUUCACCCCAUUGGUCGGAAUCUGGAAUUGGUCCAAACCUCACCGUCUGCUGAGUUACCGCAUUCUCCAGUGCCUUAUUCACCAACUCUCGGACAAAAAAAUAAAUAAAUCUCUAUUGCAUAAUCUUAAUUUACCACUUCAUGUCUAAAAGUGUUUGUGUUGUUUCCAGGUGAACCAUCCUUGGAGCUCCUUCUAGUCCCCAGUGAGGAGCCGUCAGGCUCAGGGACCCAGAAACUCAUGUGUUCUGGGUGGGGCUUCAACCCUCAGAUCAAGUGGCUCUCUGGGUCUGAACAGAGGUCUGCAGCAGCCUAUGAGAGAAGGAUGGGGGAAGACGGACAUGUGGCACUAACCAGUUAUAUCACAGUAACACAGCAGGAUUGGAACCAGGGUAUGGUCUUCACCUGUGAGGUCAUCGACACGGAUCUUCAGAAAACUACAAGGAAGAGCACCAGUUUAUGUACAGACAAAAUGAUGACUUCAGGACACUUCCAUAUGAUGGAUCCCUAGGAGUUCAACUGGAAAUGAAACCAUUUAUUUCAACCUUUUCUUAUACAAUCACAACACGUUUCUUAAGAAAAUUGCAUAGUUUGAAUUUCUUACGGUUACCUGUUGCAGGUUUGAUGACAGGGAAGUGUUCUUGUUUUUAUUCCCCACAAAGACAGACAAUGUGGAGGUGUGCUUACUUGCUCUCAUUUCUUGAUAAAACGCUAUAGAAUUUUUGAGCAGAGAUAAAAAUAGAUAUUUAACCACUACUAAAUAAAGCAUACCAUAGCAGUUAUUGCUGAAUUAUCUUCUGAUAAUAAAACAUGAUUUCAAACUA